CAGAAUAGAUGCAGCAGCAAGCAGGAUGAAUGAACUUGAAAACAAAUCAAUAGAAAACAGCACACUGGGCAGGGUGCAGUGGUUCAUGCCUGUAAUCCCAGCACUUUGGGAGACCAAGGCAGACAGAUCACAAGGAUUGGGCAAGUCUUAAUGAGUAUGAACCAACGAAAUUGAGGAGAGAUUUGCUUAGAGCUUCUGGGAAACAGAAGUCAAUGUCUGUGUUUCUCCCUCCUUCUCCUGCUACCCCUAUCACUUGGGGAAGAGUGAAGCAUGUUGCUCUGUUACAACUGGCAGCUGUCUUAGAACCAUGAAGGGAAACAGCCUUGCAAGGAAGUUCUCGGCCAAACAGUGAGAUCUCAGCAGAGGAGUGAGAUAGAAAGAAUCCUGAGUGCCUGAAGAUGGGCUCGCACUGAUUCAUCAAUCUUGAAGCUCACAUCAUUGUCUCUGAAUGACUACUUAAAAUGUGAAAUAAUACAUUUCCUUGAUAUUUAAGCAAAUUUUACUGUCUUCUGUUUCUUGAAGCCCAAAGCAUUCUGAUACCAAGAGUCACACCCUCAUGAUGUUUAGUGUGAUUGUUCAUUCACUUAUUGAGCACUCGUAUUCCAGACAUUGGGUUAGACACGG
RNAcentral lists this long non-coding RNA (624 nucleotides) under Homo sapiens (human). RNAcentral's name for it is "HSALNT0314257". The record is from RNAcentral. Lineage: Eukaryota; Metazoa; Chordata; Mammalia; Primates; Hominidae.